RNAcentral lists this microRNA precursor (110 nucleotides) under Leptotrombidium deliense. RNAcentral describes it as "microRNA mir-50". The record is from RNAcentral. Lineage: Eukaryota; Metazoa; Arthropoda; Arachnida; Trombidiformes; Trombiculidae.
AAGCAAUAAACUGACCGAUGUGUCUGGGACCAUUUGCAGACAAGUUCUUUAUACACGCAUAUUUUGUCUGCAAAUGGUCCCAGACACAUCGGUCAGUUUAUUGCUUUGUU